Molecule: non-coding RNA, 73 nt
Organism: Beta vulgaris subsp. vulgaris (sugar beet)
Lineage: Eukaryota; Viridiplantae; Streptophyta; Magnoliopsida; Caryophyllales; Amaranthaceae
Source: Rfam
GGCUCUGUAGUGUAGGUGGUUAGCACGCAGGGUUCUGAUUCCUGCAACCGCAGUUCGAGUCUGCGCAGGGCCU